Molecule: non-coding RNA, 206 nt
Organism: Oryza glaberrima (African rice)
Lineage: Eukaryota; Viridiplantae; Streptophyta; Magnoliopsida; Poales; Poaceae
Source: Rfam
AAUAAGCACAGUUGUGGGUUCCAGUGUCCAACAUUUGGCUAUCCGUCUUAUUUGAAUUCUUUUUAUAAUUAGUAUUUUUAUUGUUAUUAGAUGAUAAAAUAUGAAUAGUACUUUAUGCAUGACUAAAUUUUUAAAUUUUUUUAUAAAUUUUUUAAAUAAAACGGACGGUCAAAUAUUGGACACGGAAACUUAUGGCUGCACUUAAA